Molecule: long non-coding RNA, 119 nt
Organism: Etheostoma cragini (Arkansas darter)
Lineage: Eukaryota; Metazoa; Chordata; Actinopteri; Perciformes; Percidae
Exons: 3
Source: RefSeq, a predicted model, not a curated record
UACGAUAAAUGGGUGCCGAUUCAAUUUGUAUUGCGAUUUUCAUUUAUUACGAUUUGAUAGUAGUGAGUAUUGCGAUUUUCUUUUCCUUCUUUGACAAAAACAAAAAUUUAAUAAAACAU